RNAcentral lists this transfer RNA (65 nucleotides) under Mystonectes coelamboides. RNAcentral describes it as "tRNA-Asn". Lineage: Eukaryota; Metazoa; Arthropoda; Insecta; Coleoptera; Dytiscidae. The record is from RNAcentral.
UUAAUUGAAGCCAAAAAGAGGCAUAUUACUGUUAAUGAUAUCAUUGAAUUAUAAUUCCAAUUAAA